Molecule: ribosomal RNA, 478 nt
Filed under: uncultured bacterium
Lineage: Bacteria
Description: partial 16S ribosomal RNA
Rfam family: Bacterial small subunit ribosomal RNA
Source: RNAcentral
GACGAACGCUGGCGGCGUGCUUAACACAUGCAAGUCGAACGGUAAGACCCUUCGGGGUACACGAGUGGCGUACGGGUGAGUAACACGUGGGUGAUCUGCCCUGCACUUCGGGAUAAGCCUGGGAAACUGGGUCUAAUACCGGAUAGGACCACUGCCUGCAUGGGUGGUGGUGGAAAGCUUUUGCGGUGUGGGAUGGGGCCGCGGCCUAUCAGCUUGUUGGUGGGGUGAUGGGCUACCAAGGCGACGCCGGGUAGCCGGCCUGAGCGGGUGACCGGCCACACUGGGACUGAGAUACGGCCCAGACUCCUACGGGAGGCAGCAGUGGGGAAUAUUGCACAAUGGGCGCAAGCCUGAUGCAGCGACGCCGCGUGAGGGAUGACGGCCUUCGGGUUGUAAACCUCUUUCAGCACCGACGAAGCGCAAGUGACGGUAGGUGCAGAAGAAGGACCGGCCAACUACGUGCCAGCCGCCGCAGUAA